UAUUGCUCUUCAACGAGGAAUUCCUAGUAAGCGUGAGUCAUCGCUCGCGUUGAUUACGUCCCCUGCCCUUUGUACACACCGCCCGUCGCUACUACCAUUGAAUGGCUUAGUGAGGUCUUCGGAUUGGCUUUUGGGAGCCGGCAACGGCACUCGAUUGCUGAGAAGUUGAUCAAACUUGGUCAUUUAGAGGAAGUAAAAGU
This 200-nucleotide ribosomal RNA is filed under the name Ceratorhiza hydrophila. Its description in RNAcentral is "ribosomal RNA small subunit". It matches the Rfam family "Eukaryotic small subunit ribosomal RNA", at positions 1591 to 1789 of the family's 1831-position model. Lineage: Eukaryota; Fungi; Basidiomycota; Agaricomycetes; Cantharellales; Ceratobasidiaceae. The record is from RNAcentral.